ACAAUCCUUGUACGCCCACAGGCUGAAUCAGGUUCGAAUCAUAGAAAACAUAAACCCUCCAAUAACUUUUAAAAACUUUUAAAUCGAUUUCAUAUGAUUUUUAGCUUUUUACUAUUAAUUUUUGCCUCAUUGUAUUUUUGUUGUUUUUAACUUUCUGUAAAGUGUCUUUGAGCUCCUGUAAAAAGUGCUAUACAAAUAAAAUGUAUUAUUAUUAUUAUUAUUAUCAAAAACGGAGCUGUACAGAAAGAAAGAGGACUUGAGCACAACUUGGUUCCGCCUUCUGCCAGUAUACGGAUUUAAAGCCCAAAAACUCUUGGCGUUUCCGCGUUGUUCUCUAUUUCCUGAAACCAACUUUGGACAGUAGCGUUGUGCGCAUUCGGCGGGAGAGUUGUUGUGGUGCGCUACGCAAUAUCUGUCCUCCCAUAGGCUGUAUCAGGUGUCAAUCAUAGAAAACAUGAACCCCCUAAUAACUUUUAAAAAUGGAGCUGUACAGAAAAAAGAGGACUUGAGCACAAACCAGUCUGACAGUAACUACAUGUCAACAUCACAACCAGGGGGGAGAAACAUUUAUAUUCUGUGUCAUUCAUUUAUAAAGUUUGUCCACAGCUCCAUAAGGAGGCGGGGUUUAUGACCUGUACUGCAGCCCGUCACCAGAGGGCGCUGUUCUCAGAGUGGCUUCACCCAGAGAGGAGGCAGACAGUGUC
Xyrichtys novacula (pearly razorfish) is the source of this 704-nucleotide non-coding RNA. Lineage: Eukaryota; Metazoa; Chordata; Actinopteri; Labriformes; Labridae. The record is from the annotation of a GenBank genome assembly.